This 404-nucleotide ribosomal RNA is filed under the name uncultured bacterium. RNAcentral describes it as "partial 16S ribosomal RNA". It matches the Rfam family "Bacterial small subunit ribosomal RNA", at positions 338 to 734 of the family's 1533-position model. The record is from RNAcentral.
CCUACGGGAGGCAGCAGUAGGGAAUCUUCCACAAUGGACGAAAGCCUGAUGGAGCAACGCCGCGUGAGUGAAGAAGGCUUUCGGCUCGUAAAGUACUGUUAGUCGUGAGGAAGGAUACAAGUUGUAACUCGUCUGUAUUUGACGGUAAUUACUUAGGAAGUACCGGCUAACUCCGUGCCAGCAGCCGCGGUAAUACGUAGGGGGCAAGCGUUGUCCGGAUUUAUUGGGCGUAAAGCGAAUGCAGGCGGUUGAAUAAGUCUGAUGUGAAAUCCCCGGGCUUAACCCGGGAAUUGCAUCAGAAACUGGUCAACUUGAGUGUAGAAGAGGGGAGUGGAACUCCAUGUGUAGCGGUGGAAUGCGUAGAGAUAUGGAGGAACACCAGUGGCGAAGGCGGCUCCCUGGAC